CACGCCGUAAACGUUGGGCGCUAGGUGUGGGGAACCUUCCACGUUCUCUGUGCCGUAGCUAACGCAUUAAGCGCCCCGCCUGGGGAGUACGGCCGCAAGGCUAAAACUCAAAGGAAUUGACGGGGGCCCGCACAAGCGGCGGAGCAUGCGGCUUAAUUCGAUGCAACGCGAAGAACCUUACCUAGGCUUGACAUAUACCGAAAACUCAUGGAGACAUGGGGUCCGCAAGGGCGGUAUACAGGUGG
RNAcentral lists this ribosomal RNA (245 nucleotides) under uncultured Actinomycetales bacterium. RNAcentral describes it as "partial 16S ribosomal RNA". It matches the Rfam family "Bacterial small subunit ribosomal RNA", at positions 796 to 1041 of the family's 1533-position model. Lineage: Bacteria; Bacillati; Actinomycetota; Actinomycetes; Actinomycetales. The record is from RNAcentral.